CAGACAUAGUUUAGCGGUAAAACUUCGGCUUCCCAAGCCGACGUUGCGGGUUCGACUCCCGUUGUCUG
RNAcentral lists this transfer RNA (68 nucleotides) under human gut metagenome. It matches the Rfam family "tRNA". Rfam says of the family: Transfer RNA (tRNA) molecules are approximately 80 nucleotides in length. Their secondary structure includes four short double-helical elements and three loops (D, anti-codon, and T loops). The record is from RNAcentral.